RNAcentral lists this ribosomal RNA (743 nucleotides) under uncultured bacterium. RNAcentral describes it as "bacterial SSU rRNA". It matches the Rfam family "Bacterial small subunit ribosomal RNA", at positions 94 to 823 of the family's 1533-position model. The record is from RNAcentral.
AGUGGCGGACGGGUGAGUAACACGUAGGUAACCUGCCCCGGAGCGGGGGAUAACAUUUGGAAACAGAUGCUAAUACCGCAUAACAACAAAAGCCACAUGGCUUUUGUUUGAAAGAUGGCUUUGGCUAUCACUCUGGGAUGGACCUGCGGUGCAUUAGCUAGUUGGUAAGGUAACGGCUUACCAAGGCGAUGAUGCAUAGCCGAGUUGAGAGACUGAUCGGCCACAAUGGAACUGAGACACGGUCCAUACUCCUACGGGAGGCAGCAGUAGGGAAUCUUCCACAAUGGGCGCAAGCCUGAUGGAGCAACACCGCGUGAGUGAAGAAGGGUUUCGGCUCGUAAAGCUCUGUUGUUGGAGAAGAACGUGCGUGAGAGUAACUGUUCACGCAGUGACGGUAUCCAACCAGAAAGUCACGGCUAACUACGUGCCAGCAGCCGCGGUAAUACGUAGGUGGCAAGCGUUAUCCGGAUUUAUUGGGCGUAAAGCGAGCGCAGGCGGUUGCUUAGGUCUGAUGUGAAAGCCUUCGGCUUAACCGAAGAAGUGCAUCGGAAACCGGGCGACUUGAGUGCAGAAGAGGAAAGUGGAACUCCAUGUGUAGCGGUGGAAUGCGUAGAUAUAUGGAAGAACACCAGUGGCGAAGGCGGCUGUCUGGUCUGCAACUGACGCUGAGGCUCGAAAGCAUGGGUAGCGAACAGGAUUAGAUACCCUGGUAGUCCAUGCCGUAAACGAUGAGUGCUAGGUGU